Molecule: ribosomal RNA, 253 nt
Filed under: uncultured bacterium
Lineage: Bacteria
Description: partial 16S ribosomal RNA
Rfam family: Bacterial small subunit ribosomal RNA
Source: RNAcentral
UACGUAGGCAGCGAGCGUUGUUCGGAGUUACUGGGCGUAAAGCGUGCGUAGGCGGUGUCUUAAGUUUGUUGUGAAAUCUCCCGGCUUAACCGGGAGGGUGCGGCGAAUACUGGGAUGCUGGAGUGCCGGAGAGGUAAGCGGAAUUCCUGGUGUAGCGGUGAAAUGCGUAGAUAUCAGGAGGAACACCUGCGGUGUAGACGGCUUACUGGACGGUAACUGACGCUGAGGCACGAAAGCGUGGGUAGCAAACAGG